UACGUAGGGUGCAAGCGUUAAUCGGAAUUACUGGGCGUAAAGCGUGCGCAGGCGGUUAUGUAAGACAGUUGUGAAAUCCCCGGGCUCAACCUGGGAACUGCAUCUGUGACUGCAUAGCUAGAGUACGGUAGAGGGGGAUGGAAUUCCGCGUGUAGCAGUGAAAUGCGUAGAUAUCCGGAAGAACACCGAUGGCGAAGGCAACCACCUGGGCCUGUACUGACGCUGAGGAGCGAAAGCGUGGGGAGCAAACAGG
Molecule: ribosomal RNA, 253 nt
Filed under: uncultured bacterium
Lineage: Bacteria
Description: partial 16S ribosomal RNA
Rfam family: Bacterial small subunit ribosomal RNA
Source: RNAcentral